Long non-coding RNA from Parus major (Great Tit), 324 nucleotides. RefSeq lists it as uncharacterized. The transcript has 2 exons. The record is from RefSeq and is a predicted model, not a curated record. Lineage: Eukaryota; Metazoa; Chordata; Aves; Passeriformes; Paridae.
CCAUCGACUCCAGCCCCUGCCAUCGACUCCAGCCCCUGCCAUCGACUCCAGCCCCGCCGGGGCUCCGGCACCGCCGGGGCUCCCUCCGGCCGCACGGCGUGCGGGCUCCAGCACCGCCACCCCGCUGGGGAACAGGCUGCAGAAAACACGUGAGCACACGCAGUCAAGAAUCUGGUUUUCCUUGGAGUGAAACUGUUCCUUUCACCUGUGUGAUGGGCAUGAAAGAAGUCUUCAUCUGAGUUUUUCAUAUUCCACCCCCUUCCCACCCUCCACCGUACCAGCUCUGUAAAGAAUAAAAGGAAUGAGACUGGAGAGAAACCAUGA